Molecule: ribosomal RNA, 391 nt
Filed under: uncultured bacterium
Lineage: Bacteria
Description: bacterial SSU rRNA
Rfam family: Bacterial small subunit ribosomal RNA
Source: RNAcentral
GACGAACGCUGGCGGCGUGCUUAACACAUGCAAGUCGAGCGGUAAGGCUCCUUCGGGAGUACACGAGCGGCGAACGGGUGAGUAACACGUGAGUAACCUGCCCCAUUCAUCGGAAUAACCAGUGGAAACGCUGGCUAAUGCCGAAUACGACCACCGAAGGCAUCUUCUGGUGGUGGAAAGCUCCGGCGGAAUGGGAUGGACUCGCGGCCUAUCAGCUUGUUGGUGAGGUAAUGGCUCACCAAGGCGACGACGGGUAGCCGGCCUGAGAGGGUGACCGGCCACACUGGGACUGAGACACGGCCCAGACUCCUACGGGAGGCAGCAGUGGGGAAUAUUGGACAAUGGGCGAAAGCCUGAUCCAGCAACGCCGCGUGAGGGAUGACGGCCUCGG